AGAGUUUGAUCCUGGCUCAGGACGAACGCUGGCGGCGUGCUUAACACAUGCAAGUCGAACGGAAAGGCCCUUCGGGGUACUCGAGUGGCGAACGGGUGAGUAACACGUGGGUGAUCUGCCCUGCACUUUGGGAUAAGCCUGGGAAACUGGGUCUAAUACCGAAUAGGACCGCGCUCUUCAUGGGGUGUGGUGGAAAGCUUUUGCGGUGUGGGAUGGGCCCGCGGCCUAUCAGCUUGUUGGUGGGGUAAUGGCCUACCAAGGCGACGACGGGUAGCCGGCCUGAGAGGGUGACCGGCCACACUGGGACUGAGAUACGGCCCAGACUCCUACGGGAGGCAGCAGUGGGGAAUAUUGCACAAUGGGCGCAAGCCUGAUGCAGCGACGCCGCGUGAGGGAUGACGGCCUUCGGGUUGUAAACCUCUUUCAAUGGGGACGAAGCGCAAGUGACGGUACCUAUAGAAGAAGGACCGGCCAACUACGUGCCAGCAGCCGCGGUAAUACGUAGGGUCCGAGCGUUGUCCGGAAUUACUGGGCGUAAAGAGCUCGUAGGUGGUUUGUCGCGUUGUUCGUGAAAACUCACAGCUUAACUGUGGGCGUGCGGGCGAUACGGGCAGACUAGAGUACUGCAGGGGAGACUGGAAUUCCUGGUGUAGCGGUGGAAUGCGCAGAUAUCAGGAGGAACACCGGUGGCGAAGGCGGGUCUCUGGGCAGUAACUGACGCUGAGGAGCGAAAGCGUGGGGAGCGAACAGGAUUAGAUACCCUGGUAGUCCAA
RNAcentral lists this ribosomal RNA (773 nucleotides) under uncultured bacterium. RNAcentral's name for it is "bacterial SSU rRNA". It matches the Rfam family "Bacterial small subunit ribosomal RNA", at positions 8 to 798 of the family's 1533-position model. The record is from RNAcentral.